GAUGAAGAACGCAGCAAAAUGCGAUAAGUAAUGUGAAUUGCAGAAUUCAGUGAAUCAUCGAAUCUUUGAACGCACAUUGCGCCCGCCAGCAUUCUGGCGGGCAUGCCUGUUCGAGCGUCAUUUCAACCCUCAAGCUCAGCUUGGUGUUGGGACUCGCGGUAACCCGCGUUCCCCAAAUCGAUUGGCGGUCACGUCGAGCUUCCAUAGCGUAGUAAUCAUACACCUCGUUACUGGUAAUCGUCGCGGCCACGCCGUAAAACCCCAACUUCUGAAUGUUGACCUCGGAUCAGGUAGGAAUACCCGCUGAACUUAAGCAUAUCAAUAAGCGGAGGA
This 333-nucleotide unclassified non-coding RNA is filed under the name soil metagenome. Its description in RNAcentral is "partial contains 5.8S ribosomal RNA, internal transcribed spacer 2, and large subunit ribosomal RNA". The stretch from base 1 to 120 matches the Rfam family "5.8S ribosomal RNA", at positions 35 to 154 of the family's 154-position model. The record is from RNAcentral.